RNAcentral lists this ribosomal RNA (548 nucleotides) under uncultured Glomeromycotina. Its description in RNAcentral is "SSU rRNA". It matches the Rfam family "Eukaryotic small subunit ribosomal RNA", at positions 548 to 1098 of the family's 1831-position model. Lineage: Eukaryota; Fungi; Glomeromycota. The record is from RNAcentral.
UUGGAGGGCAAGUCUGGUGCCAGCAGCCGCGGUAAUUCCAGCUCCAAUAGCGUAUAUUAAAGUUGUUGCAGUUAAAAAGCUCGUAGUUGAAUUUCGGGAUCAAUACGUCGGUCGUGCUUCGGUACGUACUGGCGUAAUUGAUUUCUCCCUUCUGACGAACCAUGAUGUCAUUAACUUGGUGUCAUGGGAAAUCAGGACUGUUACUUUGAAAAAAUUAGAGUGUUUAAAGCAGGCUCACGCUUGAAUACAUUAGCAUGGAAUAAUGAAAUAGGACGUUCGAUCCUAUUUUGUUGGUUUUUAGGAUCAGCGUAAUGAUUAAUAGGGAUAGUUGGGGGCAUUAGUAUUCAAUUGUCAGAGGUGAAAUUCUUGGAUUUAUUGAAGACUAACUACUGCGAAAGCAUUUGCCAAGGAUGUUUUCAUUAAUCAAGAACGAAAGUUAGGGGAUCGAAGACGAUCAGAUACCGUCGUAGUCUUAACCAUAAACUAUGCCGACUAGGGAUCGGAUGAUGUUAAUUUUUUAAUGACUCAUUCGGCGCCUUACGGGAAAC